Molecule: ribosomal RNA, 254 nt
Filed under: uncultured bacterium
Lineage: Bacteria
Description: partial 16S ribosomal RNA
Rfam family: Bacterial small subunit ribosomal RNA
Source: RNAcentral
UACGUAGGGUGCAAGCGUUGUCCGGAAUUAUUGGGCGUAAAGAGCUCGUAGGCGGUCUGUCGCGUCUGCUGUGAAAACUCAGGGCUUAACCCUGAGCUUGCAGUGGGUACGGGCAGACUAGAGUGCGGUAGGGGAGACUGGAAUUCCUGGUGUAGCGGUGAAAUGCGCAGAUAUCAGGAGGAACACCGGUGGCGAAGGCGGUUCUCUGGGCAUGUUCUGACGCUGAGGAGCGAAAGUGUCGGGGAGCGAACAGG